CCUACGGGGGGCAGCAGUGGGGAAUAUUGGGCAAUGGGCGCAAGCCUGACCCAGCAACGCCGCGUGAAGGAAGAAGGCUUUCGGGUUGUAAACUUCUUUUCUCAGGGACGAAGAAAGUGACGGUACCUGAGUAAUAAGCCACGGCUAACUACGUGCCAGCAGCCGCGGUAAUACGUAGGUGGCAAGCGUGAUCCGGAUUUAUGCGGGGUAAGGGGCGUGUAGGCGGGAGCGCAAGUCAGAUGUGAAAACUCAGGGCUCAACCCUGAGCCUGCAUUUGAAACUGGGUUUCUUGAGUGCUGGAGAGGCAAUCGGAAUGCGGGGUGUAGCGGUGAAAUGCGUAGAUAUACGGAGGAACACCAGUGGCGAAGGCGGAUUGCUGGACAGUAACUGACGCUGAGGCGCGAAAGCGUGGGGAGCAAACAGGAUUAGAUACCCGAGUAGUC
This 443-nucleotide ribosomal RNA is filed under the name uncultured bacterium. Its description in RNAcentral is "partial 16S ribosomal RNA". It matches the Rfam family "Bacterial small subunit ribosomal RNA", at positions 338 to 795 of the family's 1533-position model. The record is from RNAcentral.